GGAAGGCGGAGUGGGGAUAGAGACACUGAAAUGACACAACUUCAUCUGAUUUGAUCUUAUUAGGAAAGUGGACUAAUUUAGCAAAUAUUUUUUCCUCAACCUGACGUUUUAACACGGCUGAUGUGUCAACUGAGGAGAAUGCAGUAGCUGAAGCAGAGAGUGACGCUUUUCAUCAUUAAGGUGGCGUUGUGUGUACAUUCAGAAGAGGAUGACUUUGAUGAUAUAACAAAACAAAAAGCAGCAGAAUUCCAUCACAGUGAGUUAGCAUGAUAGGGCUAUUCCAGUAGUUUUUUUGUUUUUAAUGGACAUACAACAGACUGUAGCACAAAUGACCAACAGUGUGAGAUGUUUGUUUGCUACAAGACUUGAAAUGGGGUAACCUUUAAUUUCACCGUGUCCCAAAAAACAGACUCUCAAACAUGCAGUACAUACAUUUAUAAGUGCAUGUGUACCACUGGUGUGAGGAUUCAAUGGUUGUUAGAAGACACUGUGCCCCUGCUGUGGAAGGACUGGUUUUAGCUUCACAAGAGCCCUAAAAGUCAUCAUGAUAGCCCAAAUGUCAGUCAAAUGAGCAAGCUAUUCUUGUGCAGAA
This is a non-coding RNA of Doryrhamphus excisus (bluestripe pipefish), 592 nucleotides long. Lineage: Eukaryota; Metazoa; Chordata; Actinopteri; Syngnathiformes; Syngnathidae. The record is from RefSeq and is a predicted model, not a curated record.